This is a non-coding RNA of Pangasius djambal, 74 nucleotides long. NCBI's taxonomy places the organism in Eukaryota, Metazoa, Chordata, Actinopteri, Siluriformes, Pangasiidae. The record is from the annotation of a GenBank genome assembly.
GACAGUGGUAGCUCAGUGGUUAUGGUGUUGGAAUACUGACUAAAAGAUCGUGAGUUCAAACCCCACUGCUGCCA